GCCCUGCUGGCGCAAUGGUAGCGCGCAAGACUUCUACUCGAUAGAAGAGUAAUCUUGAGGUUGCGAGUUCGAGCCUCGCGUGGGGUG
Non-coding RNA from Kalaharituber pfeilii, 87 nucleotides. NCBI's taxonomy places the organism in Eukaryota, Fungi, Ascomycota, Pezizomycetes, Pezizales, Pezizaceae. The record is from the annotation of a GenBank genome assembly.